Ribosomal RNA from Amphiprion ocellaris (clown anemonefish), 119 nucleotides. The record is from Ensembl. NCBI's taxonomy places the organism in Eukaryota, Metazoa, Chordata, Actinopteri, Pomacentridae.
GUUUACGGCCAUACCAGCCUGAAUACGCCCGAUCUCGUCUGAUCUCGGAAGCUAAGCAGGGUCGGGCCUGGUUAGUACUUGGAUGGGAGACCGCCUGGGAAUACCAGGUGCUGUAAGCU